Molecule: ribosomal RNA, 685 nt
Filed under: uncultured bacterium
Lineage: Bacteria
Description: bacterial SSU rRNA
Rfam family: Bacterial small subunit ribosomal RNA
Source: RNAcentral
GACUUGGAGGUUGUGCCUUGAGGCGUGGCUUCCCGAGCUAACGCGUUAAGUCGACCGCCUGGGGAGUACGGCCGCAAGGUUAAAACUCAAAUGAAUUGACGGGGGCCCGCACAAGCGGUGGAGCAUGUGGUUUAAUUCGAUGCAACGCGAAGAACCUUACCUGGUCUUGACAUCCACGGAAUUUGGCAGAGAUGCCUUAGUGCCUUCGGGAACCGUGAGACAGGUGCUGCAUGGCUGUCGUCAGCUCGUGUUGUGAAAUGUUGGGUUAAGUCCCGCAACGAGCGCAACCCUUAUCCUUUGUUGCCAGCGGUCCGGCCGGGAACUCAAAGGAGACUGCCAGUGAUAAACUGGAGGAAGGUGGGGAUGACGUCAAGUCAUCAUGGCCCUUACGACCAGGGCUACACACGUGCUACAAUGGCAUAUACAAAGAGAAGCGACCUCACGAGAGCAAGCGGACCUCAUAAAGUAUGUCGUAGUCCGGAUUGGAGUCUGCAACUCGACUCCAUGAAGUCGGAAUCGCUAGUAAUCGUGGAUCAGAAUGCCACGGUGAAUACGUUCCCGGGCCUUGUACACACCGCCCGUCACACCAUGGGAGUGGGUUGCAAAAGAAGUAGGUAGCUUAACCUUCGGGAGGGCGCUUACCACUUUGUGAUUCAUGACUGGGGUGAAGUCGUAACAAGGUAAC